This 271-nucleotide ribosomal RNA is filed under the name uncultured prokaryote. Its description in RNAcentral is "partial 16S ribosomal RNA". It matches the Rfam family "Bacterial small subunit ribosomal RNA", at positions 524 to 794 of the family's 1533-position model. The record is from RNAcentral.
UACGUAGGUGGCGAGCGUUGUCCGGAUUUACUGGGCGUAAAGGGAGCGUAGGCGGACUUUUAAGUGAGAUGUGAAAUACCCGGGCUCAACUUGGGUGCUGCAUUUCAAACUGGAAGUCUAGAGUGCAGGAGAGGAGAAUGGAAUUCCUAGUGUAGCGGUGAAAUGCGUAGAGAUUAGGAAGAACACCAGUGGCGAAGGCGGCUUUCUGGCAGACAACUGACGCUGAGGCGCGAAAGCGUGGGGAGCAAACAGGAUUAGAUACCCGGGUAGU